Molecule: ribosomal RNA, 510 nt
Filed under: uncultured bacterium
Lineage: Bacteria
Description: bacterial SSU rRNA
Rfam family: Bacterial small subunit ribosomal RNA
Source: RNAcentral
AGAGUUUGAUUCUGGCUCAGGAUGAACGCUGGCGGCGUGCCUAACACAUGCAAGUCGAGCGAGAUACUGUUGAACAGAGGUUCGUCAACGGGAUACAGUGGAAAGCGGCGGACGGGUGAGUAACGCGUAGGCAACCUGCCCCUUACACAGGGAUAGCCAUUGGAAACGAUGAUUAAAACCUGAUGACACCUGAGGAUGACAUCUUCCUGAGGUCAAAGAUUUAUCGGUAAGGGAUGGGCCUGCGUCUGAUUAGAUAGUUGGUGAGGUAACGGCCCACCAAGUCAACGAUCAGUAGCCGACCUGAGAGGGUGAUCGGCCACAUUGGAACUGAGACACGGUCCAAACUCCUACGGGAGGCAGCAGUGGGGAAUAUUGCACAAUGGGGGAAACCCUGAAUGCAGCAACGCCGCGUGAAGGAAGAAGGUCUUCGGAUCGUAAACUUCUGUCCUAGAGGAAGAUAAUGACGGUACUCUUGGAGGAAGCCCCGGCUAACUACGUGCCAGCCGCCGC